GCAGGAAUAGACGCAAGGGCUGGAGCUGGGAGGGAUGGGGGGGGGGGGAGGGAGAAUCCCUCCAGCGGCCCAGCCCCGCCUCCCGAGAUGUGGGCAGGCCAUCCUCCUGCCCUAACACUUUCCACCACCUGCCUUCCGCCUUGCAGGGAGGCUACCACCGGCUCCGGGAAGCCCCUCCCGCAGACCUGCCGCUCCCCUGCCUCAGAAGGAGCUGCUCGACCGACAGAUACCAAGGUCGUCUUUGCGCCGGCGUGCGACCCAUUUAAUACGUUCUUUCUUCGAUGGAAGGCUGCUACGAGAUCCAUCGCGGGAAGCCCAUACCCCCACGUGGCGUAUCUCCUGAACCGCGCUUCUUUUUACCUUCUGCCCCGGGUGGCGUUCUGAACCUGACGGUCCGUGGGCUAUUGUUCCGUAUAGGAUGCCGGGACGGCUGGGUAGCCAUCCAGAAAAAGUAACGUCAGACUUACACUCCCAAUUCCUGUACUAGGACGGAUACGAAGAAGUGUGAUCUGUGCUCGAGGUGGAAAUGCAAAAUGAUGAACAAUUGAAAGGACAACGGGCAAAGAAUAGAGACACUCAGUAACUUGACCAAACUCACAAGAAGCCGGUGCGUGAACCGGAAUGAGAAACCAUUAAUUUGCAAUGGGAAAUACUCCUUUGCGAUGACAGAACACGCAUGUCUGCCAUCCCAGGCACCUCGCUGCACAGAUCAAGAUGCCCGUGACGUUCCGUGAGGGAGCCCGGUGGGGCGCCUGGCUGGCUCCUUCAGAAGAGCAUGGGACUCUCGAUGAUCUCAGGGUCGUGAGUUCAGACCCCAUGUUGGGCAUGGAGCCUACUUUAAAUAAAUAAAUAAAUAAAUAAAUAAAUAAAUAAAUA
This 876-nucleotide long non-coding RNA is filed under the name Felis catus (domestic cat). RNAcentral describes it as "lncRNA (ENSFCAG00000040849.2)". The record is from RNAcentral. Lineage: Eukaryota; Metazoa; Chordata; Mammalia; Carnivora; Felidae.